Molecule: long non-coding RNA, 188 nt
Organism: Amphimedon queenslandica
Lineage: Eukaryota; Metazoa; Porifera; Demospongiae; Haplosclerida; Niphatidae
Exons: 3
Source: RefSeq, a predicted model, not a curated record
GAGGUAUAUCACUGAAAAGCAAGUCACUUAUGACCAGACUGAGAAGCAACUGAUGGUGAGACUAGACCUGUAGGAAGAGGAACGGCUACACGUAAUAGAGAAGCAACUGAUGGUGAUACUAGAGCUGUAAGAAGAGGAACAGCUACACGUAAUAGUAAGUUCUUUACGCUAGCAGUAAGUGUAUCUAU